GGCAGUGGUGUGUGAUGAAUUUGGUUAUGGCGUCUACUCCCAAUCGGGAAAGAGGCGAGUCACGAAGAGCUGGAUUGUUUGUCAAUCAAAUUGUUUAAACCAGGCUCUGGAAGUUGGUAGUAUUACGGUUCAAUAUCACUGAGAAUGAUUCUCCAUUGGAGCUGGUUCAAUGUACAGCAAGUGGCAUCUCAUUUGAAUGUAGAAGUCCUGAAGCCACCUCCACAUUUCUAAUGGAAACAGUAAAAUAUACUGCCAGCCAAUUUAAGCUGUAUGCUAAUUUUGGAUAUGUUCAUCUCUCGUGGACGAAUAAAUGUUUAAACAAAGAAACAUUCUCCUCUGGCCUAAGAAGAAAUAAACAGUUAAAUUCGCCCUUCAUUCUUCUUGACAGAGCAGUGAGACAAAAUCACGAAUCUUCUACCAGAGUAUAGUACACAAAGGGAGCUCUGAUCAGCAGUCUGAAGAAAGAAGACUUGUGCUAAAGUCACACGAGGACUGGGAGGGGGCAUGGGUCUAACUCGGACCUGCACACUGUGAUCCAGUGGGCCCACUCCACACUCACCAGGCCCAAUUCCACCUCCAGCCCCAGGAACUUCAGAAGCCACUUCUCGAGGGAACCAGUGAGGUCCUCACCUUCCUUGCACUCCAGAAGACCCACGAGCUAAAAUAUUGAAGAUGUCGCAGGGACUGUGAAAAAAGGCAACCCUAAUCUCUGAGGAGUAGUAGUACUGUGAAGAAUCACUUGCUACAUGAAUCAUACAAGCCCUUCACUGACACCAAAUCCUUCACCAUCAACACCUUUGGC
Long non-coding RNA from Chiloscyllium plagiosum (whitespotted bambooshark), 802 nucleotides. RefSeq lists it as uncharacterized. The record is from RefSeq and is a predicted model, not a curated record. NCBI's taxonomy places the organism in Eukaryota, Metazoa, Chordata, Chondrichthyes, Orectolobiformes, Hemiscylliidae.